CAAACGCAGUGAACUUUGGGAUAGCGGUCCAAGCUGAUUGGGAAAACAGCGAGUUCAUCUCCCAUAUUUCUCCCAAUGUUCGCCGCCUCUUCGAUUUCCUGGUCCAAUUCUAGGCUACAACGAAGAGCAAAUUGGCAUCACUGAAUGAGAAGCUUGACGUAUUGGAACGAAAGCUAGAACUUCUUGAAGUUCAAGUGGUGACUGCAUCAGCCAACCCUUCUCUUUUUGCACGUGAUGCUUAGCAGAUCAUGCCAUUCUUAUUAGAUUAUAAUAUACCGCUUUACUGUAAACAUCCUCUUGUCUAUAGUGUGGACGUGAACAUAUUUCUUGGUCUUGUAGCCCAGUUCAAAAGUAAUCUAUCCAUUAUUCUGCUUUAUGUUGA
Prunus dulcis (almond) is the source of this 382-nucleotide long non-coding RNA. RefSeq lists it as uncharacterized. NCBI's taxonomy places the organism in Eukaryota, Viridiplantae, Streptophyta, Magnoliopsida, Rosales, Rosaceae. The record is from RefSeq and is a predicted model, not a curated record. The transcript has 2 exons.